This 468-nucleotide ribosomal RNA is filed under the name uncultured bacterium. RNAcentral's name for it is "partial 16S ribosomal RNA". It matches the Rfam family "Bacterial small subunit ribosomal RNA", at positions 28 to 507 of the family's 1533-position model. The record is from RNAcentral.
GACGAACGCUGGCGGCGUGCUUAACACAUGCAAGUCGAACGGAAAGGCCCUGCUUUUGUGGGGUGCUCGAUUGGCGCACGGGUGAGUAACACGUGAGUAACCUGCCCUUAACUUUGGGAUAACUUCAGGAAACUGGGGCUAAUACCGGAGAGGAUCUCCUGCUGCAUGGUGGGGGUUGGAAAGUUUCGGCGGUUGGGGAUGUAUUCGCGGCUUAUCAGCUUGUUGGUGGGGUUGUGGCUUACCCAGGCUUUGACGGGUAGCCGGCCUGAGAGGGUGACCGGCGACAUUGGGACUUAGCUGCGGCCUAGACUCCGACGGGAGGCAGCAGGGGGGAAGAUUGCACAAUAGGCGGAAGCCUGAUGCAGCAACGCAGCGUGCGGGAUGACGGCCUUCGGGUGGUAAACCGAUUUCGCCUGUGACGAAGCGUGAGUGACGGUAAUGGGUAAAGAAGCACCGGCUAACUACGUG